ACUACACUCUCUGAUCACACUAGGCUUUUUCCAAAUAUGCUUUUUCUUCCCUUGAGCUGGCACAUGGAUGUCACAGUAAUCCCAUUUUGACAAUACGUACAUGAACAACAGCACCCUGUUUGCAUAGCCACCACUCCUCCACAUAAACCCAAGUUAGAGUCACAGUGAACCAGAACUCCAAAUUCAUUAUGUUCUUCUUGUUUCCAUGUCUUGAUACCUGUGUUGGUAUCUGCAAUGACCCAUGCCCCUUUCUCACUAUUUCCCUUGCCCCUUCCAGUCUAUGUGACCAACUCUGAUUCACCUUCUAGAUUCAUUCCUGACUACUCUAUCGCUAUCCCCCCAGCCACAUGUGACUCAGG
RNAcentral lists this long non-coding RNA (359 nucleotides) under Homo sapiens (human). RNAcentral describes it as "HSALNT0199108". Lineage: Eukaryota; Metazoa; Chordata; Mammalia; Primates; Hominidae. The record is from RNAcentral.